CAUCAUUGCCAAUUUUAAUUCGGCAUUUAAAAAAAAAAAACUCCAGUGGAAAAACCCCGAAUGUUGCCAAGACGUUCAGGAAGUAGCAAGCUGCUACAUGAUCUACAGCAGCCAGCCAGCAGAGAGAGCGAGAGAGAGAGAGAGAGAGAGAGAAAGAAAGAGAGAGUUUGGUGUGAGGACAGACUCAGAGCUGCCUGGUGCGCAAACGGACUUCUUCACAGCUGUCCUGUUUUCUGCUCAGCUCCAACAAAGCUGCGGAGGAGAAAGAGAACACGGGAACAACUCCGCUGAUCAUCGGUAACCAAGUUGGUCCUCUGCAAUCAUGCUGGCCGCUGCUGUACUCAAGCUCUACACGAUCGGAAUGGCACUCUCCGUGAUGGCAAUCCUUUGGGGGAUUGCUGAUUCCUUCGGAGGGCUCAUGUACGCCCAGAACCACCACUACAUCCACGGACUGGACACCCAGACACAGACACAGAGGCAGAGCGCCUCCAGGAACCACCUGCGAGGACCAUCUGUGACAAGGAACGUUGGCUCUUAAGGGACCCCGGGAUGCUGAACGCGUGGGACCUUUUCUUGACUUUUUGGAGAGACUUGAACUGUACAUAUCUGUAAUGCCAGGGGAUGUUUUACUCUGUUUCCCCAUCUGCUGUCAGUAAAACACGGUGCAGCUAUUUUACAUAGCAGCUACAAAGAGCUUCAACAGAUAUAGCAGCACUACUGAACGAUUUGCACUGAAACCAGAAUGUUUUUGUAGCCGUUUCUGAAAUAAAAUGUCUUCUUUGUGAUCGU
Long non-coding RNA from Fundulus heteroclitus (mummichog), 789 nucleotides. RefSeq lists it as uncharacterized. The record is from RefSeq and is a predicted model, not a curated record. NCBI's taxonomy places the organism in Eukaryota, Metazoa, Chordata, Actinopteri, Cyprinodontiformes, Fundulidae. The transcript is spliced from 2 exons.